AAAUCAACGAAAAAAAAUGAACAAUUAAAUUUUGCGAGAAAAAAAACAAAAAAAGUUAAUUAAAUUGAUCGAAAAUUCAAAAAAAGAACAUUUCCCUUUUCGACCAACAGAUGGCGUUACUUUCAUAUUCUCCAAAAUUGCUAACCCAUAAUGUGGAUUAAAACAGGAGAUUAACGAUGUAAAUGAGAAAUGAUGAUGAUGAUGAAAAGUAAUUAACAAUGUAAUUAAUCAAUUCACCCCUUGUGUUUUUUUUCCAUGAAUGUUUGUCUGUUGAAGGAGCAUGACAAAAUAACCAUGGAUUUGAAGAAAAAAAUUCAGUCAAGUCUCAAAGAGAGAUGAUGUUUAUUACCCUAACCUGUAAAUAGGAAAAAGCGAAAACAAAAAGGAAUCCUGGAUAAGUAAUAAUGAUGAUCUCAAAUGAUUGCGGUUAGAGAGCAAUUUUUUUUUCUACUCUCCUCUAUUCACUUAUGUUUAUGUACUGUUACUUUUACUGGUUAAUGAUAAUGGUGUUGCGAGUGGAGCAAUUCUGGUGAUUAUGAUGAUGAUGAUGAUGAUGAGACACCACUUUAUGAUCCAAAUUAAUGUGCUAAGAUAAUGGUUUUAAUACAUUUCGGGUCAAUGGAUGUGUAAAUAAAGAAAUGAAUGAAUUGAGGUGAGAAUAAUUUACACCCAAAGGUGAAGUGGAAAAGCUCAAGGAAUGUGAACACAGGUAGUUAUUCAUUAGUAUCUAUUUUAGAUAAAGAUAUAGAUAAAGUCAUUGGCGAAAACCUCUGACUUGAUGAAUGGGCUGAUGAGUAGAAAAUCAUUUGAAAAGACGCGACAUUUUGACACAAAUCUAUGGGUUAACUUUCAUUUUCCCUGUUGAUGGAUUAACUUAAACUCACCAAACCAAUUCUUCCCUCUCAAGAAAUCCUUAUCCCAUGUUUCCUUUUCCAGAAGAAAAAACCUCAACAAUCAUCCAAUGUAUCUUCAUAUCAACUUGAUGUCUCAACAUUUUCGACAAAGUAAUUGUAGAUGGUUGGGAUAUAAAGUAAAGAGAGAAACAAUAAAAGGCCAUGGGACAAGAGAAGUUAGCAAACUGGACAAGACAAACACAUACAAACAGUGACAAGCUAAAGGAGUGAUGUUUAGACUAAAUAAGAUUUUCCCCUUUCUUUUGAUUUAUUUGUUCGAUUGCUAUAAAUCAACCGGAAGCUAAAAUCCAUUACUUUCAUUGAGAUUGAAAACUGUGUUUCAUCACCGAAUUUCAACAAUAAUUCUGUAACUUUCAUCUAUUUUUCUCCUAUCAAAACCCCCCAAUGAGCACAAAUUCUUUUGUCGUGUGAGUUGUUUCAUCUCUUCCAUAGGUUUAAUCUGCUUUCUUUCUCCUCGUGCACGAGUUUUGUAUUCAUGUUGCUAUCUUCUUCUUUUCCUCCUUCGUCCCUUAUUCUUCCUCUCUCUCUCUCUUCCUAUUCUUUAGCUAAAAAAGCCUAAUUCGCACUUGCCUCCCCAUAAAUCAAACUGGGUGAGGUUUUCUUCUGCACGCAAUCUUCUGUCUUUUUCCUUUUCCCUUUUUUUUCUUCACUGUUCUUUUUUCUAUUCUCUUCCAUUUUUGUUCAGUCUACUCUGAUAAUUGUCUUUUUCUCUUUCUAUUCGUCUAUCCCAGUUCUAUUGAACAUUUUCCAUUCUCUAACAGAUCCCAAAAUGAGAAGUUAAAAGCUGAUAAAAGAGGAUAUCGAAAGAUAGGAAGGAGGGAAAGUUUACUUUGUUUUGUUCCUUAAAGAUGAAGAGAACAAGAAAACACCAACGUUAUCACCAUUAUAAUUGGUCUGUUUAUAUUGUAAUCGUUGCAGUCAAGGUGAAAGGUUAAAUUGGCUAAUCAAGGAAUGAAAGAUGAAAAAAGUACUAAAGAAAAAGGUAAUUUAUUUACCUCUCCAAUUUGUAAGAUCGUUGAAAUAACAUCAUCAUAACUUAAUAUUGUUGGUAACAAGUUACAAGAACGAAAUGUAAUUUCCCAGGUCAAAAGUCACUUCCACCUUAUAACCCUUCACGUCUCUGGAUAUUAUCAAUAUAAGUAUAAUAACAAUUGACUGGAAAAAAGAAUGGAAAUAGAAAGUUAACUCUCGAUGAAUUUAAGGAAAAUUCACCCUGAUUCUUAUUCCAAUGGAAAUGUGAUUUCUCUGAUUUUCUGUCAAACAAGUGAGAUAGAUUAAGAUUUUUUUCCUUCUCAAGUAAUUCAUCAAUUCGACUGAAUCUGUUCAGGAGGAGAAGAAGAAAAAAAAAGUUGAUACAAACAUGAGGAAUAUUUGAUCGCAUCUUAACAUGGAAAGUCAAUCAAAUUUUUCUCUUCUUUUUCUUCCGCCUUCUUCUUAUACUUUUCCUCCUUCGAUAACAACCUCUUUUCUGUUCCUGAUAUAACAUUUUCUCUGGGGAUUUUAUAUUCAGUCUCUAUCGCCAUCUUUAUCAUCAUCAUGAUAACCUUACUAUUUACAAUUCUUUUCCCUCUUCUCUCUCUCUCUCUUUCUUUCUUUCUUUUCUCUCCUUUCAUCGUGAUCAUUAUUCCGAUUGACAAAAAUUUGUUCCAGGUCAUCUUUGUUUUACCAACCAACGGUAAUCCGAAGUGUUUGAAAUUGGCCGUUCACCUGACAAUUUUUGAGGUUCUAUGACUUAUGACUUAUCGUUGUUUUGACCUGUUCGCGAUUGAAAAUUAGUCCCUAGCGAAUAACUAAUUAUAUAGGAUGAAUGAGCCAAUUGAGUUGUUUAACUAGAAAGAAAGAGAAAAAGAAAGAGUUGGUAAAGAUAAAUAGUAAGACCAAAAAUGAUUGAGAGGCUCAGAUGAUGAUGAUGAUGAUGAUGGAGAAAGAGAAUAGUCGACAAGAACUCUCUCUCUCUCUCUCCAUGAACCAUGUUGUCCUCUUCAAUUCAUCAAUCCAGGUGAAAAAAUAUAAAUUACCAGGAAAUUGAUCCCAAAUCAUGUUUACUUUUGGUAAUAUUUAUUUUCUCGUAUUUUGUUUACAUUCGAGUCCCGAACAAAGCAAAAAGUAUUGAAGUUUAUGUUGACUUAUUAAUUCAAUUGGGAUGAAAUGUUUCCAAUGAUUAAAGUAUCAUGAUGAAAGUUGUGUUGAGUUUCAUGAAACAGAAUUGAAAGUUGCAUGUUAAGAAAAUUCUAAGAACAAAAAAAAAGAAGAAAAUGUGAAGUGGGAGGUUUAAUCACUCCUUUUACUUUUUUCUUAUGUAAUCAAUCGGCCUGAAAGUCAGGAUGAUGAUGAUCAUCAUCAUGAGGAUAAUGAUGAUAGAAAGGAAGAUGAAGCAAAUAAUAAAAAGCUAGAAAAAGAGGAAAAGUAAAAAAAAAGAAUGAAAAAUUGUGAAUGGAAAUUAACCUUACGAUAAUAAUUCUGCUUUUGAUUUUGAUUAGAAGAUGAGGUUGAGAUCAUGAUGGAAACUCUGACAAUGUUGGAACAGAAAAUCUCAUGAAAUAAAGAUGAAAAAUUCAGCAAAGUUUCUUGUUCUUUUUCUUAUCAUCAUGGUUGAUGCUUUAUUCUGAUGAUAACAAGAAUAGAAACUAUAAAAUAUGCAAAAAAAUUGAAGAUAAAACUCGAAACUAUGAUAAGUUUUCUGUUCUUCCCAUUUUGAGAAAAGAUAAAAACGACAUUUGGUUAUUUUCUUCUUAAGCUAUAAUUUUGUCGCAUUUUCCUUUACCAUGAUGCCCAUUUGGAUUCUCAUUUGGACCAUGAACACUUAAGGUGGGUAUUAAUUUUGUCUCUUAUAAGACAAAGACGAUGUUAAGAAUGAAAAUGAAUCAUAAUGAGUCGAUAUUAUUGAUAUUUGAUAUUUUUGUUGUUCCAAAUGGUGGAUAAGCAAAAUUGUCAGGAAAUUGUCUUCAAAAUUUAGUAAUAAAUCAGAUGAUUUUCUGUCAGCUAAUCAACCUUUUUGGUAUGAUUUGUGUGACGAUAAAGAGAGAAAGGAUGAUGAUAUGGAUGAGAGAGAGAGAGAGAGAGAGAGAGAGAGAGAGAGAGAGAGAGAGAGAGGAAUAUGAGGAUGAUGGUAAAAGAUGAAAAGAUUGUUUUUCCUUUCACUUCUUCAUUCUUGUUUGUUGUUGUUGUAGUUUCACUUGCAAUCGAAUGAUGAAUGAUUAAUUUAGUCCCCAUGAGGACAUCUUUCAUUUCUCUAAGGAAGAAAAAUCCUUCAUCCUCUCAUUUUUCUUCCCAUCCUCAUCAUCAUUCUCAUCAUUUCUUCUAAUCUCACCCCCACCUUUCUCUCUCUCUCUCUUCCAUCAUCCUUGUCUUCAUAAAGAGAGGGCACCACUACGAUUAUAUCAGGGAGAAAAAAAAUUGUUUCUUCAGCUGAAUCUUUCUACUCAUUUCAGGUUCACCCUUUGCUAUAUAUUCUGAUACUUUUUCAUUUCUCUUACACCCUCCCUCCUUUGCUCUCUCCAUUCGUCCUCCUCCUACUCCUACUUGCCUCUUUCUUUUCCUUUUUUCUCUCUCUUUUUCUCUUCAACUGACUGAAUGAGAAAAACCUUCGCUCCCUGAAGAGAGGAUGAAAAAGAAGAAGAUGAAAACAGCCCGACUUUUUUUCUCAGGAAAAAAACGAUCGGUUUAUCGAUUUUCUCUCUCUCUCUCUCUCUCUCCCUAUCUUCUUCUACUGGCCUUUCUCUUCUUCCAUAGAGAAGAAGCAGAAGAAGAUGAUGAGGAAAUAACAAUCGAUUGAAACCUAGAUUGAUACCAAAUCCAUCAUUCUAAGCGAAUCCUCUCCCUCCUUCUCCUCCUUCUCUCAUCCCGUUUUAUCUUCUCUCUCCCCCUAAACUUCCCUGUUAUGUAUUAUUAUCAUCAUCAACAUCAUCAUUAUCAACCUACAUAUAAAACGAAUGUGAAUAUAAUUGUUUUUACCAAAUCGAAUGGAAAACAUGAUUUCUGAACAUUUCCAUUCUGAAAUUUUUUCUUCAUCAUCAUUUAUUAAACUCUUAUAUCGCCUCUCUUUCUCUCUCUCUCUUUCUCUCGAAAAGUUCUGAUGAUCACAAUUGUAUAUUCAUGAUAUGAAAGAAUCAAUGAAACAUUAUCAUAAUCAAAUGAUGAUCUAAAAUGAACAAUCUUAUUAUCUAAUCAAUUGAAGUAACACUUUUCUGAUUCAGAUAAAAUCAUCUAAUAGAUUGAUAAAUAGAGAAAAAUGUUUCUCUUUUUCCCUGAUUAUCUAAUUAAGUUAAUAACCGAUUACACUCAUCUGGGAACUUAAUUAGUAAAUAGUUUGAGAUGAUGAUGAGAAAAGGAAAAGAAAGAAAUUGAAAGAUGAAUAUUAUGUUUAUCUUGUUGAUGAGAUGAAGAUAAUGAUGAAAAUUUCAUUAAUGAUGGACACUCAGUGAACAUUAUCAUCUGAAUUAUCUGAAGCAAGACUCAUACUGUGAGAAGUUGCAGUCAAUUGAUCCACAAGGAAAUCAACACCGAUACUAAUGAUUAUCAUUCAAAUAAAUAAGUGUUACUAUUACUAUCACGUCAUCAUUAUCACCAAUAUCAACAAGAACUACAAUAACAUGAUCAUUUUCAGGGUAAUUCAUUUGAAUUGAUGAUAUGAAGAGGGAAACAUUUUCACCAGUUGAAACCAAUUGAGUUUCAUGAUUGUAACAAUAGUUUAAAUAUGUACAUAAAUAAGAUAUUGAUAUUAGCCUGAGAAAUGAUAAAAUGUAGCUCAUGUUUAAUGCUGAUGAAAUGGCGAUAAUGAUGAUAAUGAUAAGCCGAUGAUGAUGAUAAUGAUGAUUGCGAUUUAUAUUCUGAUAAAAUGAAGUUUCCAUCAUGUUGAUUACCUGUUGACAGGUCAACCGUCACAAUGUGAUGAAAAUGAAUCACAAAUUUGCAUCUCAAUGAAUUUGUUACCUGUUUGUUUCUGGAAGAUUUUUACUUUUUCACCAAGAAUCACUUUUGAGUAUGGUGAUGGUAAAAUUGAGUCACAACAACAAUGAAAAUCAACAGAAAACUUUAAUGAUGAUAUGACAAUAAUAAGGGGCGAUAAUGAUUUCAAAUGCAUCAACUGUUUUGCGAUCAAUUUAUUUGAAAGCCUUGCAAACAAAACCAGGUAAAGAUGAAUGCUAAAUGAUUAAAUGAACUUCAAGGUGUCGAUUGACCAAAGUAGCGUGAAAAAAACGCGUCAAACAAUCAAGAAACCAAGAAAAGGUAAAUCUACUUGUUUGGUGAAUUAUUUUCUGUCUCAAUUUGAUGAACAUUAUCAAGACCAUCUGAUGAAUGGAUGGUAAUUCAUUUGCACCCAAAUAGCUCAUUUAUCACCAUGUAAACUCGUCAGUUGAUAUAAUACAUAUGAUAGAGACUGAAAUUCUUAGGUUGAACUUUAAGGAAAAUCUAAACAAAUUAUUAUUAUAAUGAGCGAAUUUCCUAAAUGCCAAGUUCGAACUUUUUUUUUUCCUUCUAAAUCUCGAAAUUGUUUCAAAUUUCGAGAACUCCAGCCAACAGGAAACACGUUUGAAACUUUUUUCCUAUUCUAAUGUUUCUUAUCAUCUGUUGCCCAAUCUAAUCUGAUGUGUGGUCUGAACGUAUUCAUGAUAAGAAAAUGAGAUGAGAAUAAAAAAAAAUAUGUCAUUAAAAAAAGAAAGGUGAUUGUUACAGGUAAGAACUGAACUUAUUAUUAUUAUUAACGAAUAGAAACUUUUUUUUUCUUUUUUUCUUUUUCUCUUCUAAUAUCAUUUAAUAUCUUAAUGGCCAGUUCUCUUUAAGAACAGAUUCAAAGUCCGAAAGUUUAUUUUCUAUUCUCUUCCCAAGUUUUUCUAUCAAAAUGAUGAUGAUGAUGAAGAUAAUGAUGAUAAGAUGAAGAUAAAAAGCAGUUAAAAGGUAGAAAUUUAAAAUCUAUAAAAGUGUAUUUAUCUUAUAUAUUCAAAAACAAAGUUCGCUUUCCAAAUGUAAUAAAAAUCUUUCUUCAUCGUGAGAGGCUUAAUAGUUUUUUCUUCUUCUUGUUGUUCAAUGUUUUCUGUAAAUUCUUGAGGAUGAUGAUGAUGAUGAUGAUGAAAGGGAAGCGAAUGUUCCAGGUAACAAAAAUGGCGAAAUAGUUGGUUUGAUAUGAGAGAAAAAGAAAAGACAAUUUCAUGAUCAUUUAUUCGUGUCUUCAAUCAACAAUCACCGAAAUCAACCAUCAUCAUGUUUGAUGUAAUUCUGUUGAUUAUACUUAUCAUCAUUAACAUUCGUAUUGUUAUUCAUGAUUACCUGUAUUCUAAUGAUAAGAAUAAUAACUUUUAUCAUUAUAGAGAAACUUUUAUAAUGUCAUCUGACAAAUUUUCUUCAGAUCAAUUUUCAGGGCAUUUUCCUUGAAAUUCCAUUGAAUUUUAUCUCAUCUGCGAUCAGGCUGAUGAAAGAGAAGACAAAAUUCUGUUACAGGUAAAAAAUUCAUCAAGACGAAAUGUUGAUAUUCAUUAUUUUCUCUAAGCCUUUCAUCAAAAUUUUCCCUGAAAAUCGACUGAGUUUUUAUAUCAUUUCCAUGAAGAGACAAAGAUGAAAACUUGUCAAUAUCAUGAGUUGAUUGUUUCAUUUGAAAUUCUGGCGGAAAAUAAAAUCAAAAAGUGCGGCGAACAACAAAUUCAAUUACUAAUUGUCUCUCUUAAUUCAAUGUCACCAUCUAUCAAUCAUUUAACUACAGAAUCAAUUGUUGAUGAUAAUGAUCAGCAAAUAAUUUAUUACACGAAAAAAUGUUCAGGUAAAAGUUGUGAUUAUCUUUUUUUUCAUCAUAAUUUCAUGAUAUCAAUCACACUUAGAAAUGAACAUUUUUUAUGCACAUAUAUCAAUAAAUAUAUCGUCAUCAUCAUCAUCAUUAAGAUGACUAUUAACACUGAUUGCCCUUUUGUGUUUAACUUGUUUGAUUCUAAACCAUCAAUUGAUUGUAACAAUCAUAAUGAUGAUGAUGAUGGUUUGCAAAAA
Molecule: long non-coding RNA, 7889 nt
Organism: Panonychus citri (citrus red mite)
Lineage: Eukaryota; Metazoa; Arthropoda; Arachnida; Trombidiformes; Tetranychidae
Exons: 5
Source: RefSeq, a predicted model, not a curated record